Molecule: ribosomal RNA, 1094 nt
Filed under: fungal endophyte
Lineage: Eukaryota; Fungi
Description: eukaryotic LSU rRNA
Rfam family: Eukaryotic large subunit ribosomal RNA (bases 502-1094)
Source: RNAcentral
CGAGUUGCAAACUCCCAACCCGUGCGAACGCUACCUUUGUCGUUGCUUCGGCGGCCGAAACCCGGCCCGGCCCGGCCCGGUGAAAUACGCGGGCCAGGGCCCCGGGCGGGGCGGACGCCGCCGGAGGCCCCCAACUCCAAAUUUUUCAGUGUAUCUCUGAGCGAAACAAACAUAAUGAGUCAAAACUUUCAACAACGGAUCUCUUGGCUCUGGCAUCGAUGAAGAACGCAGCGAAAUGCGAUAAGUAAUGUGAAUUGCAGAAUUCAGUGAAUCAUCGAAUCUUUGAACGCACAUUGCGCCCGCCGGUAUUCCGGCGGGCAUGCCUGUCCGAGCGUCUUUUCGACCCCUCAAGCCCAGCUUGGUGUUGGGGCAGCGGGCCCCCGGUCCGCGCCCCCAAGUCGAUCGGCGGGCCCGCCGGGCCCCGAGCGCAGUAGUAACAUCUCGCUCGGGAGUCCCGGCGGGACCCGGCCGCUAAACAACCCACGAGACCUUCUCAAUGUUAGACCUCGGAUCAGGUAGGAAUACCCGCUGAACUUAAGCAUAUCAAUAAGCGGAGGAAAAGAAACCAACAGGGAUUGCCUCAGUAACGGCGAGUGAAGCGGCAACAGCUCAAAUUUGAAAUCUGGCCCCCGGGGUCCGAGUUGUAAUUUGCAGAGGAUGCUUUUGGUGAGGCCUUUACCGAGUCCCCUGGAAUGGGGCGCCACAGAGGGUGAGAGCCCCGUAUGGUUUGCGGCCGAGCCUCUGUAAAGCUCCUUCGACGAGUCGAGUAGUUUGGGAAUGCUGCUCUAAACGGGAGGUAAAUUUCUUCUAAAGCUAAAUACCGGCCAGAGACCGAUAGCGCACAAGUAGAGUGAUCGAAAGAUGAAAAGCACUUUGAAAAGAGGGUUAAAAAGCACGUGAAAUUGUUGAAAGGGAAGCGCUAGUGACCAGACUUGCGCCGGGCGGAUCAUCCAGCGUUCUCGCUGGUGCACUCCGCCCGGCUCAGGCCAGCAUCGGCUCUCGCCGGGGGAUAAAAGCUCGGGGAACGUGGCCCUCUUCGGAGGGCGUUAUAGCCCCCUGCACAAUGCCCCGGCGGGGGCCGAGGACCGCGCUCG